UUCGCAAUGCCCGAAAGGGUGACGAAGCGACGCCGCGUGAGCGAAGAAGGCCCUAGGGUUGUAAAGCUCUGUCGGGGGUUAUGAAAUGUAGAUCGGUUAAUACCCGGUUUAUUUGACAAAGGCCCCAAAGGAAGCCACGGCUAACUCUGUGCCAGCAGCCGCGGUAAUACAGAGGUGGCAAGCGUUGUUCGGUAUUAUUGGGCGUAAAGAGCACGUAGGUGGUUUUGUAAGUCAGAUGUGAAAGCCUUCUGUUCAAAGGAAGAACGGCAUCUGAAACUGCGGAUCUUGAGUGUAGGAGGGGAGAGUGGAACUUCUGGUGGAGCGGUGAGAUGCGUAGAUAUCAGAAGGAACGUCGGCGGCGAAAGCGACUCUCUGGCCUAUUACUGACACUGAGUGUGCGAAAGUUAGGGGAGCAAACGGGAUUAGAUACCCCGGUAGUCCUAACUGUAAACGAUGGGCACUAAGUAGAGGGGUUUU
RNAcentral lists this ribosomal RNA (477 nucleotides) under uncultured anaerobic ammonium-oxidizing bacterium. RNAcentral's name for it is "bacterial SSU rRNA". It matches the Rfam family "Bacterial small subunit ribosomal RNA", at positions 365 to 832 of the family's 1533-position model. The record is from RNAcentral.